UACAGAGGGUGCAAGCGUUGUUCGGAAUUAUUGGGCGUAAAGCGCGUGUAGGCGGCAUGGCAAGUCGGGUGUGAAAGCCCUCAGCUUAACUGAGGAAGUGCGCCCGAAACUGGCGAGCUUGAGUGUCGGAGAGGAUAGCGGAACACCCGGUGUAGAGGUGAAAUUCGUAGAUAUCGGGUAGAACACCAGUGGCGAAGGCGGCUAUCUGGACGACAACUGACGCUGAGACGCGAAAGCGUGGGGAGCAAACAGG
This 253-nucleotide ribosomal RNA is filed under the name uncultured bacterium. RNAcentral describes it as "partial 16S ribosomal RNA". It matches the Rfam family "Bacterial small subunit ribosomal RNA", at positions 524 to 776 of the family's 1533-position model. The record is from RNAcentral.